RNAcentral lists this ribosomal RNA (433 nucleotides) under uncultured bacterium. Its description in RNAcentral is "partial 16S ribosomal RNA". It matches the Rfam family "Bacterial small subunit ribosomal RNA", at positions 29 to 507 of the family's 1533-position model. The record is from RNAcentral.
AACGAACGCUGGCGGCAUGCCUAACACAUGCAAGUCGAACGAGACCUUCGGGUCUAGUGGCGCACGGGUGCGUAACGCGUGGGAACCUGCCCUUAGGUUCGGAAUAACUCCCCGAAAGGGGUGCUAAUACCGGAUAAUGUCUUCGGACCAAAGAUUUAUCGCCUUUGGAUGGGCCCGCGUCGGAUUAGCUAGUUGGUAGGGUAAAAGCCUACCAAGGCGACGAUCCAUAGCUGGUCUGAGAGCAUGAUCAGCCACACUGGGACUGAGACACGGCCCAGACUCCUACGGGAAGCAGCAGUGGGGAAUAUUGGACAAUGGGCGAAAGCCUGAUCCAGCAAUGCCGCGUGAGUGAUGAAGGCCUUAGGGUUGUAAAGCUCUUUUACCCGGGAUGAUAAUGACAGUACCGGGAGAAUAAGCUCCGGCUAACUCCGUG